RNAcentral lists this transfer RNA (72 nucleotides) under Centrolabrus exoletus (rock cook). RNAcentral's name for it is "tRNA-Thr". It matches the Rfam family "tRNA". From Rfam's summary of the family: Transfer RNA (tRNA) molecules are approximately 80 nucleotides in length. Their secondary structure includes four short double-helical elements and three loops (D, anti-codon, and T loops). Further hydrogen bonds mediate the characteristic L-shaped molecular structure. tRNAs have two regions of fundamental functional importance: the anti-codon, which is responsible for specific mRNA codon recognition, and the 3' end, to which the tRNAs corresponding amino acid is attached (by aminoacyl-tRNA synthetases). tRNAs cope with the degeneracy of the genetic code in two manners: having more than one tRNA (with a specific anti-codon) for a particular amino acid; and 'wobble' base-pairing, i.e. permitting non-standard base-pairing at the 3rd anti-codon position. The record is from RNAcentral. Lineage: Eukaryota; Metazoa; Chordata; Actinopteri; Labriformes; Labridae.
GCAUUAGUAGCUCAACGCCAGAGCUCCGGUCUUGUAAACCGGUAGGCGGAGGUUUAAAUCCUCCCUCUUGCU